UAAUAAGUGUUUUAUGGCACUUUUUUAAAUCCAUAUCCACCUUGUGUGCAAUGUCGGUCGAUCUUCUUUUUUUGAGGAUCGACCAAACAUCAACCUUUAUUUUUUAACUCUUUGUCUGAAAAAUAUUAUGAAUAAACUAAUUCAAAAUA
Molecule: unclassified non-coding RNA, 149 nt
Filed under: soil metagenome
Description: partial internal transcribed spacer 1
Source: RNAcentral